Non-coding RNA from Ciona savignyi (Pacific transparent sea squirt), 72 nucleotides. Lineage: Eukaryota; Metazoa; Chordata; Ascidiacea; Phlebobranchia; Cionidae. The record is from Rfam.
UCCUCGUUAGUAUAGUGGUGAGUAUCCCCGCCUGUCACGCGGGAGACCGCGGUUCGAUUCCCCGACGGGGAG